This 373-nucleotide ribosomal RNA is filed under the name Candona sp. 53 IK-2020. RNAcentral's name for it is "partial large subunit ribosomal RNA". It matches the Rfam family "Archaeal large subunit ribosomal RNA", at positions 2045 to 2651 of the family's 2987-position model. Lineage: Eukaryota; Metazoa; Arthropoda; Ostracoda; Podocopida; Candonidae. The record is from RNAcentral.
UUUGCCUUUUAAUUGGGGGCUGGGAUGAAAGGUUUUAUGGGGAAUAGCUGUUUCAGAAUAAAUAAAUUGAAUUUAAGUUUUGCAUAAAAACUUGCAAAUGUUCUUGAGGGACGAGAAGACCCUGUGGAUUUUUAUUUGUUAAAAAAUAAAUUUUAUAAUAUUUUAUUUUUUAUCCAAAUUUGGUUGGGAUGACAAUAAAAUUAACUUUAUUCAGAGGAUAAUAAUUAGAUCCUUUUUAAGGAAAAAAGAACAAAUUACCCCAGGGAUAACAGCGUAAUACUUUUGGACAGGACAAAUGGAUAAAAGUGUUUGCGACCUCGAUGUUGAAUUAAAAUAUCUUUAUUAAGCAUAAAUAAUAAUAGUAAGUCUGUUC